GCGAAGACGGACGAAAUCAGUGUUUUAUCUUUGCUUUCCUCUUAUCUCCGAUAAAAGGUAAGUAAAGAGGGGCAACUGUCAUACCCUAAUUUCGUCCGGGGACUAUUGUUUGAUGGCAUGCAACCUUUGGUUGACCGCUUCGAGGUACUUGGCACCCUUUGUUGCACAAUACGUGAAGUUCCGAGACAUGCCGGAAAUCAAAAGGAAGCAUUGUUACG
RNAcentral lists this long non-coding RNA (218 nucleotides) under Glycine max (soybean). RNAcentral describes it as "long non-coding RNA (GMAX_LNC002790)". Lineage: Eukaryota; Viridiplantae; Streptophyta; Magnoliopsida; Fabales; Fabaceae. The record is from RNAcentral.